AUUGAACGUUGGCGGCAGGCCUAACACAUGCAAGUCGAGCGGAUGAAGGGAGCUUGCUCCUGGAUUCAGCGGCGGACGGGUGAGUAAUGCCUAGGAAUCUGCCUGGUAGUGGGGGAUAACGUCCGGAAACGGGCGCUAAUACCGCAUACGUCCUGAGGGAGAAAGUGGGGGAUCUUCGGACCUCACGCUAUCAGAUGAGCCUAGGUCGGAUUAGCUAGUUGGUGGGGUAAAGGCCUACCAAGGCGACGAUCCGUAACUGGUCUGAGAGGAUGAUCAGUCACACUGGAACUGAGACACGGUCCAGACUCCUACGGGAGGCAGCAGUGGGGAAUAUCGGACAAUGGGCGAAAGCCUGAUCCAGCCAUGCCGCGUGUGUGAAGAAGGUCUUCGGAUUGUAAAGCACUUUAAGUUGGGAGGAAGGGCAGUAAGUUAAUACCUUGCUGUUUUGACGUUACCAACAGAAUAAGCACCGGCUAACUUCGUG
Molecule: ribosomal RNA, 484 nt
Filed under: uncultured bacterium
Lineage: Bacteria
Description: partial 16S ribosomal RNA
Rfam family: Bacterial small subunit ribosomal RNA
Source: RNAcentral